UACGAAGGGGGCUAGCGUUGCUCGGAAUCACUGGGCGUAAAGGGCGCGUAGGCGGAUCUUUAAGUCGGGGGUGAAAGCCUGAGGCUCAACCUCAGAAUUGCCUUCGAUACUGGAGAUCUUGAGUCCGGAAGAGGUGAGUGGAACUCCGAGUGUAGAGGUGAAAUUCGUAGAUAUUCGGAAGAACACCAGUGGCGAAGGCGGCUCACUGGUCCGGUACUGACGCUGAGGUGCGAAAGCGUGGGGAGCAAACAGG
This 253-nucleotide ribosomal RNA is filed under the name uncultured bacterium. RNAcentral's name for it is "partial 16S ribosomal RNA". It matches the Rfam family "Bacterial small subunit ribosomal RNA", at positions 524 to 776 of the family's 1533-position model. The record is from RNAcentral.